This 73-nucleotide transfer RNA is filed under the name Bacteroidota bacterium. RNAcentral describes it as "tRNA-Met". It matches the Rfam family "tRNA". From Rfam's summary of the family: Transfer RNA (tRNA) molecules are approximately 80 nucleotides in length. Their secondary structure includes four short double-helical elements and three loops (D, anti-codon, and T loops). The record is from RNAcentral. RNAcentral also lists the same sequence under 3 other names. Lineage: Bacteria; Pseudomonadati; Bacteroidota.
CGCGGGAUGGAGCAGUUGGUAGCUCGUCGGGCUCAUAACCCGAAGGCCGCAGGUUCGAGUCCUGCUCCCGCUA